Molecule: transfer RNA, 96 nt
Filed under: Lachnellula occidentalis
Lineage: Eukaryota; Fungi; Ascomycota; Leotiomycetes; Helotiales; Lachnaceae
Rfam family: tRNA
About the family: Transfer RNA (tRNA) molecules are approximately 80 nucleotides in length. Their secondary structure includes four short double-helical elements and three loops (D, anti-codon, and T loops). Further hydrogen bonds mediate the characteristic L-shaped molecular structure. tRNAs have two regions of fundamental functional importance: the anti-codon, which is responsible for specific mRNA codon recognition, and the 3' end, to which the tRNAs corresponding amino acid is attached (by aminoacyl-tRNA synthetases). tRNAs cope with the degeneracy of the genetic code in two manners: having more than one tRNA (with a specific anti-codon) for a particular amino acid; and 'wobble' base-pairing, i.e. permitting non-standard base-pairing at the 3rd anti-codon position.
Source: Rfam by way of RNAcentral
UCCGUAAUGGUGUAAUGGUUAGCAUUUCUGCCUCUCAUAAGAAGUGCAAAUUUCGAUAGGUCGCAGGAGAUCAGGGUUCAAUUCCCUGUUACGGAA